This is a long non-coding RNA of Quercus lobata, 656 nucleotides long. RefSeq lists it as uncharacterized. The transcript is spliced from 2 exons. The record is from RefSeq and is a predicted model, not a curated record. Lineage: Eukaryota; Viridiplantae; Streptophyta; Magnoliopsida; Fagales; Fagaceae.
UUCUCUAACACUUUACCCUCUUUUCAUUUCCCUCUCUCUGCCUCCUCUCACAUUUCGUCUACACUUCAUUCCCAACAGCAUUUGAGAUGAUGAACCGACGCUGCUAAACUUGCCUAAGAUGAACACUUCAUGAUCGAAGACAAACAACCAAGGUGUGGCAGAAUCUUCACCGGCGCCAAACUGGGCUCUAUCACCGUCAGUUUUUCGUACCGAGCUCUAUUUUUGUGAUCUUCUCUCAGAUGGCACAUGAAACUCAAGAUGCUGACGAUAAAAUGUGGCCUCCCCACAUUGAACACAUUUUUAUUAACAUUAUGGUGGAUGAACAAGUGAAGGGGAAUAUGGAACAUGGUAUCUUUAAGGCUACAACUUGGCAAUCAAUUACGAAAACCCUAAAUGAGCAAACUGGGAAGAAAUGAAAAUUUUAUGUUGGAAAUUAAUGAAACCAUAAAAGUUUGGUUGGGGGAUGGUAAAUGAACCAAGUUGUUAAUGAACUGCUCAAGCUCAGCUCAAGCAAAACUUGUUUAUGUUCAUUUGUUUAGAAAACAAGUCAAGUUCAAAAUUUAGGCUCGAUUAUUAAACGAGUCAAGCUCAAACAUAAUAAUAUGUUUGUAAACAUUAGAACUUGAUUUAAAUAUAAUAUCGUAUUUUUAUAUGUA